UAGAGAGGUCACUGUUCCCUGGCAGACAGCUCUGAGGCUCUGUCACUUCCCAAUUCCCUGAUUUUUUUCUUCAGUUGUCUGUACAGUGAUCCAGACUCUCCAUGGCCCACAGGGAGACUGCAGAGCUGAUGACCUGAGCCACAGGACAUGCAGCCUGGGGAUGAGAGCGGCAUCAAAUCUUCUAGAAUUGCACUAAUAUCUGGCACCAACCACACGUGUGGCUAGAUGACAAAGAAGGGACCACUCAUACCACCAUUUCUCAGAGGAGGAAACUGGGCCACACUUGCCUGGGGCCACACAGCUGGCAAGCGACAAAACCAGGACUCAACGCAGUUCAGCUGACUUUAGUGUAGUGUAUACCAGUCUACUCCUGAAAGAGGCUGAAAAGCAGCUCCACCUACCCCAUCACCAUGUCCUCCACAGUGGUCCUUAGCUCCCACCCAGGACCAUGUUCCCAGUCUCCCGGUUCCUCAUCACCUUUUUCUUGGCCUGUGUCAAGUCCGCUUCCAUUCUGCUGGCACAUAUGGAAGGCCACCCCUAUGCCAGGCACUGCACUAGGCACUGUGGUACAAGGAAGGACCUUAUUCC
This is a long non-coding RNA of Fukomys damarensis (Damara mole-rat), 588 nucleotides long. RefSeq lists it as uncharacterized. NCBI's taxonomy places the organism in Eukaryota, Metazoa, Chordata, Mammalia, Rodentia, Bathyergidae. The transcript is spliced from 3 exons. The record is from RefSeq and is a predicted model, not a curated record.